Molecule: ribosomal RNA, 493 nt
Filed under: uncultured bacterium
Lineage: Bacteria
Description: partial 16S ribosomal RNA
Rfam family: Bacterial small subunit ribosomal RNA
Source: RNAcentral
GACGAACGCUGGCGGCGUGCUUAACACAUGCAAGUCGAACGGAAAGGCCUGCUUUCCCUUGUGUAUUGCGGGUACUCGAGUGGCGAACGGGUGAGUAACACGUGGGUGAUCUUCCCCCAACUUGGGUAUAAGCCUGGGAAACUGGGUCUAAUUCCCGAUAGGACUGCAGGGUGGUGCCGAUGGUGGAAAACGAUUUUCUAGUGGUUGGGGAUGAGCUCGCGGCCUAUCAGCUUGUUGGUGGGGUAAUGGCCUACCAAGGCGGCGCCGGGUAGCAGGCCUGAGAGGGUGGACGGCCACAUUGGGACCGAGAUACGGCCCAGACGCCGACGGGAGGCAGCAGUGGGGAACAUUGCACGAUGGGCGGAAGCCUGAUGCAGCGACGCCGCGUGGGGGAUGACGGCCUGCGGGUUGUAAUCUCCUUUCGACCGCGAGGAAGCCACCUGGUUGGAAGGGUGGUGACGGUAGUGGUAGAAGAAGCACCGGCUAACUACGU